AGUGAACGCUGGCGGUAGGCCUAACACAUGCAAGUCGAACGGCAGCACAGUAAGAGCUUGCUCUUACGGGUGGCGAGUGGCGGACGGGUGAGGAAUACAUCGGAAUCUACUUUUUCGUGGGGGAUAACGUAGGGAAACUUACGCUAAUACCGCAUACGACCUACGGGUGAAAGCAGGGGAUCUUCGGACCUUGCGCGAUUGAAUGAGCCGAUGUCGGAUUAGCUAGUUGGCGGGGUAAAGGCCCACCAAGGCGACGAUCCGUAGCUGGUCUGAGAGGAUGAUCAGCCACACUGGAACUGAGACACGGUCCAGACUCCUACGGGAGGCAGCAGUGGGGAAUAUUGGACAAAGGGCGCAAGCCUGAUCCUGCCAUACCGCGUGGGUGAAGAAGGCCUUCGGGUUGUAAAGCCCUUUUGUUGGGAAAGAAAAGCAGCAGGUUAAUACCCCGCUGUUCUGACGGUACCCAAAGAAUAAGCACCGGCUAACUUCGUG
Molecule: ribosomal RNA, 492 nt
Filed under: uncultured bacterium
Lineage: Bacteria
Description: partial 16S ribosomal RNA
Rfam family: Bacterial small subunit ribosomal RNA
Source: RNAcentral